CACCAACCACGCGCUGCAUAUAUCCUCCUUUUCCCGUGUUUCUCUUAUAGAAAUAGUUCUGGAAGAUGAAGCGCGCCCCCCCACGGACCGUAAGCACCGCGCUCCGCGCCUCUCGGGCCUGGAACCCAAACACGUGGGCCAGUUGAGCUGCUCUGCAAUCCCCCCCCACGUAUCCAAAAGAAGCUCCUCGUGGGGCCCAAGAGCUCCUGGUUGGGAUCCCGCUUGUUGCUGGAGUUGUUGAAAGCAGAUUACAGACGAUAUGGCAACCAGGGCCGAACACCGAGCAUGACUGGAACUGCUGGAGUGAUGAUAACCCGUUAAGUCCGGCUCCUGCUGCAGAGAAAGUCACAAAGUUUGUUGGUGCACCUGCUGCUGUUUUUGGUGAACAAUGAAAAAAUAUCAACUUCUGUUGCUGUGAGUGAGGAUAUAGUUCCCAAUGAUUUCAAGGUCGGUGUGCCAGCUGGUAUUUACUGUAUAUUCC
Molecule: long non-coding RNA, 481 nt
Organism: Gasterosteus aculeatus aculeatus (three-spined stickleback)
Lineage: Eukaryota; Metazoa; Chordata; Actinopteri; Perciformes; Gasterosteidae
Source: Ensembl